This 858-nucleotide ribosomal RNA is filed under the name uncultured bacterium. RNAcentral describes it as "bacterial SSU rRNA". It matches the Rfam family "Bacterial small subunit ribosomal RNA". The record is from RNAcentral.
GACGAACGCUGGCGGCGCGCUUAAAACAUGCAAGUCGAACGUGAAGCCGGGGCUUGCCCCGGUGGAAAGUGGCGAACGGGUGAGUAACACGUGAGGAACGUGCCCCGGAGACCGGGAUAACCCAGGGAAACUUGGGCUAAUACCGGAUGCCUUCACCGGAUCACAUGGUCUGGUGAAGAAAUGGAUUCCGCUCCGGGAUCGCCUCGCGGCCUAUCAGCUUGUUGGUGAGGUAACGGCCCACCAAGGCUUCGACAGGUAGCUGGUCUGAGAGGACGAUCAGCCACACUGGGACUGAGACACGGCCCAGACUCCUACGGGAGGCAGCAGUUAGGAAUCUUGCACAAUGGGGGAAACCCUGAUGCAGCGACGCCGCGUGCGGGACGAAGGCCCUCGGGUCGUAAACCGCUUUCAGCAGGAACGAAAUUGACGGUACCUGCAGAAGAAGCCCCGGCCAACUACGUGCCAGCAGCCGCGGUAAUACGUAGGGGGCAAGCGUUGUCCGGAUUCAUUGGGCGUAAAGAGCUCGUAGGCGGUUCAGUAAGUCGGGUGUGAAAUCUCCGUGCUCAACACGGAGCGGCCACCUGAUACUGCUGUGACUCGAGUCCGGUAGGGGAGUGUGGAAUUCCCGGUGUAGCGGUGAAAUGCGCAGAUAUCGGGAGGAACACCAGUAAAUCGAAUUCCCGCGGCCGCCAUGGCGGCCGGGAGCAUGCGACGUCGGGCCCAAUUCGCCCUAUAGUGAGUCGUAUUACAAUUCACUGGCCGUCGUUUUACAACGUCGUGACUGGGAAAACCCUGGCGUUACCCAACUUAAUCGCCUUGCAGCACAUCCCCCUUUCGCCAGCUGGCGUAAUAGCGAAG